This 253-nucleotide ribosomal RNA is filed under the name uncultured bacterium. RNAcentral's name for it is "partial 16S ribosomal RNA". It matches the Rfam family "Bacterial small subunit ribosomal RNA", at positions 524 to 776 of the family's 1533-position model. The record is from RNAcentral.
UACGGGGGGGGCAAGCGUUGUUCGGAAUUACUGGGCGUAAAGGGCUCGUAGGUGGCCAACUAAGUCAGACGUGAAAUCCCUCGGCUUAACCGGGGAACUGCGUCUGAUACUGGAUGGCUUGAGUUCGGGAGAGGGAUGCGGAAUUCCAGGUGUAGCGGUGAAAUGCGUAGAUAUCAGGAGGAACACCGGUGGCGAAGGCGCCACUCUGGGCCGGUACUGACGCUGAGGAGCGAAAGCGUGGGGAGCGAACAGG